CCUACGGGGGGCAGCAGUGGGGAAUAUUGGACAAUGGGGGCAACCCUGAUCCAGCCAUGCCGCGUGUGUGAAGAAGGCCCUCGGGUUGUAAAGCACUUUCAGUGAGGAAGAACGCCUGGUGGUUAAUACCCAUCAGGAAAGACAUCACUCACAGAAGAAGCACCGGCUAACUCCGUGCCAGCAGCCGCGGUAAUACGGAGGGUGCGAGCGUUAAUCGGAAUUACUGGGCUUAAAGCGCGCGUAGGUGGCUUGAUAAGCCGGUUGUGAAAGCCCCGGGCUCAACCUGGGAACGGCAUCCGGAACUGUCAAGCUAGAGUGCAGGAGAGGAAGGUAGAAUUCCCGGUGUAGCGGUGAAAUGCGUAGAGAUCGGGAGGAAUACCAGUGGCGAAGGCGGCCUUCUGGACUGACACUGACACUGAGGUGCGAAAGCGUGGGUAGCAAACAGGAUUAGAUACCCCUGUAGUC
RNAcentral lists this ribosomal RNA (465 nucleotides) under Vreelandella stevensii. RNAcentral's name for it is "partial 16S ribosomal RNA". It matches the Rfam family "Bacterial small subunit ribosomal RNA", at positions 338 to 795 of the family's 1533-position model. Lineage: Bacteria; Pseudomonadati; Pseudomonadota; Gammaproteobacteria; Oceanospirillales; Halomonadaceae. The record is from RNAcentral.